UUUUUCAUAUAUCUCAUAUUUUAGAAGAUAAUUGGUAAAAAUGGAAAAAUACAUUUUUUUAUAGUGGUUGAAACAACCCCUAAACCUCGAGAUAAGCCGAUAAAAAAAUACGGGUUUCUGAACUUUUCUGAUGCUCAUUGUAGAGCUUACGUUGUAGAGUCUACAACAUAUCCAAUGCCCAUCAAAGUCAGUAAGGGAUAGCCCUAACCGUUCCCUUAUUAGUUACGUACCUGUAAAUAAGUAUUAUAUUUAUCUUUAUUUUGUAUUUCUUUUUCGUUCUUAACACAAAGUAAUAUAUAUUCAAUAUAUAAUUUAAUUUAAUUUAAUACAUAGUAGAAAAUUAAUUUUAUUUUUAACUCAGCUAUUUCCCGUUUUGUCUUAAUAAAGAUAUGCAUCAUCGGAUUAAAAUAUCGUUCACAUUAUUUUUAUUUUCUAAUAAGUCUAUAAAAAUAAAUUACAUUAGGUGAAUAUUCAGGACAAAAUAAGGCAAUAAUUAAAUUUUACGAUCUCUCUCUCUCUCUCUUUCUCUUUUGCUCGCUCGUUCAAAAAAUGUUUUUUAUUUUUAUUAUCUUAUCAUUUAACACUCAACUCGCACGCGUGAAUGCCGCAUGUAUACGAGCGAUAUGAGUCUCAAUUAGAACACUCACAUGAAGCUUCUACCACCCGCGCGCAUGCGGCACUUACAUGUGCGAGCGAUAUGAGUCUCAAAGAAGGACGCAUCUGCAUGGUGCUGUGCAGUCACACUGUGACAAUUAUUAAGCACGCGAGCACGCACUGUGCAGUCACUGUGCAGACAUUUUGUUAUCUGGGUUAUACCAACGUUGGGAGCCGAUUUAUAUAAAUUAAAUUGAGGUUACAUUUUUUUCACCAGUUUUAACGUUGGUGUGUAGUUUUCGUGCUUCUAUUCAAACCAUAUAACGGCAUUGGUGUAAUAAAUGUCUCAUAAUAUGUACUUAUCAAUUUAGCACAAAUAAAAUGGCUUUAGAGGAAAAA
Long non-coding RNA from Monomorium pharaonis (pharaoh ant), 993 nucleotides. RefSeq lists it as uncharacterized. NCBI's taxonomy places the organism in Eukaryota, Metazoa, Arthropoda, Insecta, Hymenoptera, Formicidae. The record is from RefSeq and is a predicted model, not a curated record. The transcript has 2 exons.